Molecule: ribosomal RNA, 468 nt
Filed under: uncultured bacterium
Lineage: Bacteria
Description: partial 16S ribosomal RNA
Rfam family: Bacterial small subunit ribosomal RNA
Source: RNAcentral
GACGAACGCUGGCGGCGUGCUUAACACAUGCAAGUCGAACGGAAAGGCCCUGCUUUUGUGGGGUGCUCGAGUGGCGAACGGGUGAGUAACACGUGAGUAACCUGCCCUUGACUUUGGGAUAACUUCAGGAAACUGGGGCUAAUACCGGAUAGGAGCUCCUGCUGCAUGGUGGGGGUUGGAAAGUUUCGGCGGUUGGGGAUGGACUCGCGGCUUAUCAGCUUGUUUGUGGGGUAGUGGCUUACCAAGGCUUUGACGGGUAGCCGGCCUGAGAGGGUGAACGGCCACAUUGGGACUGAGAUACGGCCCAGACUCCUACGGGAGGCAGCAGUGGGGAAUAUUGCACAAUGGGCGGAAGCCUGAUGCAGCAACGCCGCGUGCGGGAUGACGGCCUUCGGGUUGUAAACCGCUUUCGCCUGUGACGAAGCGUGAGUGACGGCAAUGGGUAAAGAAGCACCGGCUAACUACGUG